AAAAUAAAUUUGAAGUAUGCUUAUGCAUAUUUCUAAUUUACUGUGAACUGUUUUACUGUUUAGCGUUUUGAGGGAUUGCCUAAAGAUUAUAGGGAUAGGUCUUUAGGAUGUUAACCUAGCUAAAGUCAGGCUUAGGCCUGGUAUCCUAAUUCAUUAUUUACCAAAAGAAUUCAGAAUUAAUAUUGUAACAUAAGCGUAAAAAACUUAUAAAACAACUUUUAACAACGGAUCUCUUGGUUCUCGCAUCGAUGAAGAACGUAGCAAAGUGCGAUAACUAGUGUGAAUUGCAUAUUCAGUGAAUCAUCGAGUCUUUGAACGCAUCUUGCGCUCAAUGGUAUUCCAUUGAGCACGCCUGUUUCAGUAUCAACAACAACCCACAUCCACAAUUUUGUUGUGAAUGGAAGUGAGAGUAUCGACGUUAAAAUUGAACUCUUUAAAACUAUUAGGCCUGAACUAUUGUUCUAUUAGCCUGAACAUUUUUUUAAUAUAAAGGAAUGCUCUAGUUAAAAGACUAUCUUGGGGGCCUCCCAAAUAAAUCAUUUUUUUAAACUUGAUCUGAAAUCAGGUGGGAUUACCCGCUGAACUUAAGCAUAUCAAAAGCCGGAGGAA
This 609-nucleotide ribosomal RNA is filed under the name Mucor irregularis. RNAcentral describes it as "eukaryotic LSU rRNA". The stretch from base 214 to 366 matches the Rfam family "5.8S ribosomal RNA". The record is from RNAcentral. Lineage: Eukaryota; Fungi; Mucoromycota; Mucoromycetes; Mucorales; Mucoraceae.